UUCUGUGCUCUCCGUGACGCCCUCAACAAGCGCAUUUAAGACAAACUGCUUCAACACGAAGUCCACCUUCGACUUUGUCACCGACAAAUCCUUCUCCUCUUCCCUCCUCAACCACCUCCUUCAAACACUGAGGUGUUGGCCGAUCCUCAACAUCCCGCUGAAUCUAAAAGUGGAGCAAAUGAAUCAAUUUUAAAGGUUGCUUUAGACCAUGGCAAGGCUUUCGGCAUUAUAAAGCCGCAUGACCGAGUUGUUGUUUGCCAGAAGGAUGGUGAUUCAUCAGUUGUAAAAAUUAUUGAGCUUGAAGAUUAAUCAGAUCUGAGAUCUCUGUA
Molecule: non-coding RNA, 329 nt
Organism: Arachis ipaensis
Lineage: Eukaryota; Viridiplantae; Streptophyta; Magnoliopsida; Fabales; Fabaceae
Source: RefSeq, a predicted model, not a curated record